This 1558-nucleotide long non-coding RNA is filed under the name Equus asinus (donkey). RNAcentral describes it as "lncRNA (ENSEASG00005036580.1)". The record is from RNAcentral. Lineage: Eukaryota; Metazoa; Chordata; Mammalia; Perissodactyla; Equidae.
CCAAAGGCUCAGUUCAGUUCAUUUUUAUGGCCUGCCUUUAUUGUAUUUCAACUCUGGGGUUAUAAAGAUGAUAAAAGCACAAUUGCUGACCUCUCCAAGCUCACAUGUUGGCCAAGAGAGAGAGAGGCAAAGGAAACAUGGGCUCAGGCUGAGACACUGUCUAUGCUGCAUGAUAUUUUUGGAAGAAACGAAUCAAGUGCUAGAUUUCUUGAACAAUACUAACAAUCCAUUUCUGCAAGAAAGAUGGCGAGGGAAAGCCAAAUGGGUCCCCUGUCCUUGGCAAAAGUAACCUGCAUUCCCAGUUUCUUGAGUAUGUCUCCAGAUAGUCUAGGUCCUGCAUAAAGAAUAGAUCCUGUGAGCACACAGCAAGAUGGCAGCUGCUGACGAGCCAGGAAGAGAAGUCUCACCAGAAACUGACCGUGCUGGUACCCUGAUCCUGGACUUCCAGCCUCCAGAACUCACAAGAUUUCUCCUUCUGCUCCCCAGAGGAAAAAGAAACCUUUGGAGACGAGCUCCUGCAACGCCCUGCUUCUCGUUUGUCUCUCUCUGCAUUUCUCUUUCCUCGUUGUUAAACCAGAGGGGCGUUCCUCCUUUUAUCCCAGGCCAAUCUCUCUAUCUCUUAUCUGGAUCUCAUCACCUCCCAUAUGCCCAGGAACUGUGUUCCUUUGAUUAUCCUCUCUCUUUAUUUCAGCCUCUCCCUUCACAUCAAUAUAUAAUUGUGCUCAGAAUGUCCUUUUUUGGGGGGGGGGGGGUGGUGAGGAAGAUUUGGCCUGAGCUAACAUCUGUUGCCAAACUCCCUCUUUUUGCUUGAGGAAGAUUGUCCCUGAGCUAACAUCUGUGCCAAUCUUCCUAUUUUGUAUGUGGGAUGCUGCCACAGCAUGGCUUGAUGAGUGGUAGGUCUGCGCUGGGGAUCCAAAUCUAAGAAUCCUGGGCUGCUGAAGCAGAGCGCACGAACUUAACCACAACACCACCGGGCCAGCCCCAGAAUGCCCUGUUUUGAAAACAAAUAAGCAAGCAGAAACUCUGCCUUGACUGCACCUUAUUUCCUCCUAUUCACAGCUGAAGUUUUUGGAGGUUGUCUAUGGUCGCCUCCCACGUCCCUUCAGCCUUCGGCGGUAGGUUCUGAACCUACUGCUUCAGUGAAAUUACUCUUGCCAAAGUCUUUAAGAACCUCCUCAUGCUAAGUUUUCAGCCUUUGUUUUCCUUGAAGUUUGGACCACUUUAUAGCAUCGUUCACUCCCUUCUGACAUGCUCUCCUUCCUUCUCGAGGCUCCUCUCUGGCUGUUCCUCUGUCUUCCAAACUCUUCCUCCUUUGCCCGUCUCCCGGGCCAGAUUUCCUCAAUUCUCUCCAAGCUCUUCACCUCUUCUCACAUUGUGUGAACAGCUGUGUCCAGGGCUUUAAGAACAACCCGUCCAAGGUUAAAAUCCUAGUAAUUCAAGUCAGCCAGACCUGGAUUUGGAUCUUAAUUCCAACUCUUUUAAGUUCUGUCAUCUGGACAAGUUGCUUAGCUCUCAUAACCUUAGAUUUCUCGUCUUUAAAAUGAACAUAAUAAUUCUC